RNAcentral lists this ribosomal RNA (301 nucleotides) under uncultured bacterium. RNAcentral describes it as "partial 16S ribosomal RNA". It matches the Rfam family "Bacterial small subunit ribosomal RNA", at positions 509 to 809 of the family's 1533-position model. The record is from RNAcentral.
CAGCAGCCGCGGGAAUACGAAGGGUGCAAGCGUUAAUCGGAAUUACUGGGCGUAAAGCGUGCGCAGGCGGUUAUAUAAGACAGAUGUGAAAUCCCCGGGCUCAACCUGGGAACUGCAUUGGUGACUGCAACGCUGGAGUGCGGCAGAGGGGGAUGGAAUUCCGCGUGUAGCAGUGAAAUGCGUAGAUAUGCGGAGGAACACCGAUGGCGAAGGCAAUCCCCUGGGCCUGCACUGACGCUCAUGCACGAAAGCGUGGGGAGCAAACAGGAUUAGAUACCCGAGUAGUCCCUGUCUCUUAUAA